AUGUCGUCUUCCACCUCCAUCAUGAACUCUGGCCUCACCAACAACACGUCCGAACCCCUCACCCGAACGAACUGUGUCUUGUGGCGAGCACAAGCUCGUUCACAGAUCAUGGGCGUCGGGUUGUUUGGGUAUCUUGACAAAACCAUUGAGCAACCUCCCAAAACCCUCAUGUCCAAGGACAAAGAAGGCAAGGAUCAGAUCUUGCCGAACCCCGCCUAUACUCCCUGGCUUAUCCAAGAUCAGCAAAUAGUCGCAUACCUUCUUAGGAAUCUCUCCAAGGAAGUGCUCGUUCAGGUAGCGUCGCUGGAAACUUCGCACGCGAUCUGGACUGCCCUUGGGAACAUGUUCGCUGCAGUUUCUCUCUCCUGCGCCAACAACAUCAGGGCCGCCCUCACCAAUGCCCAGAAGGGCUCUCAAUCAGCGUCCACCUACUUCGGCCACAUGCGAGCGCUCUCUGAUGAACUCGCGGCAGCGGGCAAACCCAUCGAUGAGGGCGAGCUGAUUUCCUUCAUUGUUGCGGGCCUUGACAUGGAAUACCAGGCCAUUGUCUCCGCCCUUGAUGUCUCCCCCGUUCCUGUCACCGUUGAUCAACUCUUCUCUCUUGUGUCCAAUUAUGACCAGAGGAUGGAGAUGUUUCAUCGCACAAGGUCCGCGCGCGUUCAAGUCCUCGGCGAACUCUACCUCUCGUGGUCGCCAGGGAAGGGGCGGCGGUGGAGGCUACCGCAACCAGCAGAAGGGCGGCGGUGGAUCACGCAAUGGCGACGGCCACUACGGUGGCGGCGGCUACAGCGCCAACCCUAG
RNAcentral lists this ribosomal RNA (801 nucleotides) under Triticum aestivum (bread wheat). Its description in RNAcentral is "partial small subunit ribosomal RNA". Lineage: Eukaryota; Viridiplantae; Streptophyta; Magnoliopsida; Poales; Poaceae. The record is from RNAcentral.